CAUAUGAUGCUUUCGCUGAUGACUUGAUCGCUCUCCUUGACGAGUUCAAACUGCUGGCGUCAGUUUUUGUCGGGCACUCUAUGUCCGGUAUGAUUGGAUGCAUUGCUUCCAUUAAGAGGCCUGAGCUCUUCAAGCGGCUCAUAUUCAUUGCAGCUUCUCCCAGGUAUGUAGAAAAAAAAAUGGCAAAUAAAAAAUAAAUUACUAAAAGAAAAUGCCCCCAGUUUCUGUUGUUUUCUCCUUUGAAUUCCUCCCUUGCUGGUUUAUAUAUUUGGUUUUUGCAGUUGCAGAUUCAAGCAUAUAUCCAUAAAUUUUAGUUUCUCAAAUUUCUAGAUUUUUAAGAAGCUAUCUUUUCUUUUUCUUUUUUCUUUUUUUUUCUUUUUUAGCAUUUCUUUCUUCCCUUUUCCUCUUAGUGGGUUUUAGAAAUUACAAAAAAUAUAGCUUUCAGGCUUCCUUUUUUCUAACUGUUCAGGAAAUAGCCAUGAUAGCUACUUCCUGCGUGGGCUAAUAAAGAUUAUAAUUUGUGGCACAGAAGCUACAUCUGGCUUGGCUGUGCAAAUAAAAGAUAUCAAGCAUGCAUGUGAUUGGGUAUAGUUAAUGUGUCAGAAGUGUUGGAUAAUUUGUGGGGUUUACAGACAUGUGGACAGGAGAGUUUGGGUAGGAUGGUACACAGCUUUUGUCUUGUAUUCUUGUGCCCAUGUAGGGUGAAUUUUUAAUGGCCCAUAACAUCAAGGCUGGUGAUCAGUACUAAUCAGAUAAGCUCAACCCCUCCCUAGCUUUUUUAAGAAGAUGCAAGGCUCGAAUUGGAAACUAACUGAAAGCUGCCUGUUUGAUAAUGAUUUCAAAAAACUAAUUUUUAAAAAAAUAGCUUUUUAAAUCUCUCAAAACAAAACUUUGGGAAUUUGUAAUAUUUUCAAUUUAUUUUCUUUAUGUUAAUUUAUUUUUUAAAAAUAACUUUUAUUUAUAAUAUUUAUUUUUUGAACAAGUUAUAAAAAUACUAAUAUUUUUUUAGUCUUUUUUAUCGAUAAUUUUUAAAUAGAUUCUAGGAUUUUCAUAGGCUUUUUUUUAUACCACACACAUAUAUAUAUAUAUAUAUAUGAAAAAUCUAAGUGAAAAUUAUAUCAAAGUACAAAGGAUUGAGAUUCAUAUAUGUAUGGCAAGAAUGUCUUAAGUUACAUGCAUAGCACCACCCGAUUAAUGGUGUCUUUUUAAUAUAUACCGAAGAACUAUCACUCCACAUCACGAUGGGUCUCUCUUUAUAUAUCAAACUAGCUGAAUACAUGAAAAUUUUGUAUAUUAGCUGUCAAUUAAUAUCUGCUAUGUCUCGCUUGUGCAAGUCUAUUCUUGGUUAGAUUUUCCUAAUUCAAUGCGUGAAGCUGGUAGGUAAGAUACAGUUUCGCACUUAAAAGCUUGACAUGAUCAACAACCCGUUUCGCUCGCAUUAACUAUGUAUAGGGAUGAGACCAAUAAGGUAGGGGUCAUGUACAAUACAAGUUCUCAUGGACAUUACUCUUGUUAAUGUUGUAUGUACGUAGGUACUUGAAUGCCAACAACUAUGAAGGGGGGUUUGAGAGAUCAGAGAUUGAGCAGAUCUUCGCCAACAUAGAAUCCGACUUUGACAAAUGGGCUUCAAACUUUGCCCCUCUCGCUGUGGAUGUCAAUGACCCUCUCUCAGUAGAGAAGGUAGAGAAAUGUAUCAGAAGAAUGAGACCUGAAGUCGCUCUCCCCUUAGCCAAAACAGUGUUCUGCUGUGACCAUCGUGACAUUCUCGACAAGGUUACGACCCCAUGCACUAUAGUCCAGCCCACUAAUGAUAUCGUCGCCCCAAUCUCCGU
Molecule: long non-coding RNA, 1832 nt
Filed under: Vitis vinifera (wine grape)
Lineage: Eukaryota; Viridiplantae; Streptophyta; Magnoliopsida; Vitales; Vitaceae
Description: long non-coding RNA (VVIN_LNC003407)
Source: RNAcentral